This 253-nucleotide ribosomal RNA is filed under the name uncultured bacterium. RNAcentral describes it as "partial 16S ribosomal RNA". It matches the Rfam family "Bacterial small subunit ribosomal RNA", at positions 524 to 776 of the family's 1533-position model. The record is from RNAcentral.
UACGAAGGUCCCAAGCGUUAUCCGGAAUUAUUGGGCGUAAAGCGCAUGUAGGCGGUUUGUUAAGUCUGGUGUGAAAGCUCAAGGCCUAACCUUGAAAUUGCAUUGGAAACUGGCAAACUAGAAUACUGGAGGGGUAAGUGGAAUUCCAUGUGUAGCGGUGGAAUGCGUAGAUAUAUGGAGGAACACCAAUGGCGAAGGCAGCUUACUACGGAUUGAUUGACACUGAGGCACGAAAGCGUGGGGAUCAAACAGG